This 422-nucleotide ribosomal RNA is filed under the name uncultured Ascomycota. RNAcentral describes it as "SSU rRNA". It matches the Rfam family "Eukaryotic small subunit ribosomal RNA", at positions 843 to 1265 of the family's 1831-position model. Lineage: Eukaryota; Fungi; Ascomycota. The record is from RNAcentral.
GGUUCUAUUUUGUUGGUUUCUAGGACCGCCGUAAUGAUUAAUAGGGACAGUCGGGGGCAUCAGUAUUCAAYYGUCAGAGGUGAAAUUCUUGGAUCRRUUGAAGACUAACUACUGCGAAAGCAUUUGCCAAGGAUGUUUUCAUUWAUCAGGAACGAAAGUUAGGGGAUCGAAGACGAUCAGAUACCGUCGUAGUCUUAACCAUAAACUAUGCCGACUAGGGAUCGGACGGUGUUAUUUCWUGACCCGUUCGGCACCUUACGAGAAAUCAAAGUGCUUGGGCUCCAGGGGGAGUAUGGUCGCAAGGCUGAAACUUAAAGAAAUUGACGGAAGGGCACCACCAGGGGUGGAGCCUGCGGCUUAAUUUGACUCAACACGGGGAAACUCACCAGGUCCAGACACAAUAAGGAUUGACAGAUUGAGAG